AUCCGUGAAGGAUUUCAAAUUAACCUUUUUUAUUAUUUUUGACAUUUAUUCAUUGCAUAGUAUAAAAUGUAUACUAUCGCAUAUUAUUGUUUAUACUAAGCCGGAAUAACGCAAACAUAUUUCAGUUAGUAUUUUGUCUUUGUGAAAUUUUCUUUCAUUUACAAUUUAUUACUCCAGUCGAGUGAAAUGUUGCCCAAAACGACGCCCAGAAUGUCCGAAUUUUGUGAGAAAGUUCCAGGAGCUGCCAUCUCCGGCUUUAUCAGGGGGAGAAAUUGCGCAGCGGUAAAAUUUGAUAACAGUUGGAAGGUUAACCGAUUCUAUUAUUCAGAGGAUGUAUCACGAGGUAGCGGCGCCGGUGGAAUUAUCGCCGCGAAAACCGAUAUGGAACGCGAAAUCGAAACCUGGCAGCUGUUCAUCGAAUUAUCACGGCAGCAAUGCAUUUUAUUACCACCGGAAUUAAAGCGGAUCGUCCAACUGGAUCCGUUCAUUACCCUAGUCUUACGCGUUUGAUGGAUGAGAAAGAUAUCAGAGGCGGCAAGUUCACCAAUAGCCAAAUUACUACAUUCAUCAAAUACUGAUUACGAUUUACGAGCCGAUUGCCUUGGUCUAAGUCUACAAUUUUCUGCACCACUUCGUCAAUUGCUACAACCCAAAGUCCUGAAGGAAACAGCUCAGCACAGGAUCAAGACCAGCCGCACGCAUUUACUCCCAGUUCAUCGAUUUCCCCGAGCAAUCACAUCUCAUUUAUGUAUUCUAUUGCAUGGUUUUAGUCUGAGAGUUAAUUAAACUAAUAAUUACUUUCUCUGUUACUUUCAUUUUCAUUUGUAUUUUCCAAUAAGAAAAAAAAACA
Armigeres subalbatus is the source of this 850-nucleotide long non-coding RNA. RefSeq lists it as uncharacterized. Lineage: Eukaryota; Metazoa; Arthropoda; Insecta; Diptera; Culicidae. The record is from RefSeq and is a predicted model, not a curated record. The transcript has 3 exons.